RNAcentral lists this ribosomal RNA (274 nucleotides) under uncultured bacterium. Its description in RNAcentral is "partial 16S ribosomal RNA". It matches the Rfam family "Bacterial small subunit ribosomal RNA", at positions 523 to 796 of the family's 1533-position model. The record is from RNAcentral.
AUACGGAGGGUGCAAGCGUUACUCGGAAUCACUGGGCGUAAAGCGCGCGCAGGCGGCUAUUUAAGUUGGAUGUGAAAGCCUACGGCUCAACCGUAGAACUGCAUCCAAAACUAUUUAGCUAGAGUGUGGGAGAGGAAGAUGGAAUUAGUUGUGUAGGGGUAAAAUCCGUAGAGAUAACUAGGAAUACCAAAAGCGAAGGCAAUCUUCUGGAACACUACUGACGCUGAGGUGCGAAAGCGUGGGUAGCAAACAGGAUUAGAAACCCCAGUAGUCC